AAGUCGUAACAAGGUUUCCGUAGGUGAACCUGCGGAAGGAUCAUUAUAAAAUGAUGAUUUUUUGGGGUUUUCCCUGAAAAAUAAUUCACCUUUUGUGCAUUGUUAUAAGAUAUACUUUGGUUAGAGCUUUGGUUUCAUAUUUUUGAAAUCAACUUCUCGCUGACUCUAUCCUAAUAUAUGGGACAGUUGGCUAUGAAGCGGCCUACCAAGGUUUUUUAUCAAACUCAUUUAAUUUAUCUGACCUAAACGAUUAUAAUAAAAUCAUAACUUUCAACAACGGAUCUCUUGGCUCUC
RNAcentral lists this unclassified non-coding RNA (294 nucleotides) under fungal sp. Its description in RNAcentral is "partial internal transcribed spacer region". The stretch from base 1 to 46 matches the Rfam family "Eukaryotic small subunit ribosomal RNA", at positions 1786 to 1831 of the family's 1831-position model. The record is from RNAcentral. Lineage: Eukaryota; Fungi.